GACGAACGCUGGCGGCGUGCCUAAUACAUGCAAGUCGAACGCAGUGGGGACGGGUGAGGAACACGUGGGUAACCUCCCAUCAGAAGGGAUAACACUUGGAAACAGGUGCUAAACCGAGACUGAUGGAUGGACGCGCGGGGCAUUAGCUAGUUGGUGGGGUAACGGCUCACCAAGGCCACGAUGCAUAGCCGGCCUGAGAGGGUGAUCAGCCACACUGGAACUGAGACACGGCCCAGACUCCUACGGGAGGCAGCAGUAGGGAAUCUUCGGCAAUGGACGAAAGUCUGACCGAGCAACGCCGCGUGAGUGAAGAAGGUUUUCGGAUCGUAAAGCUCUGUUGUUAGGGAGGCGGUAUCUAACCAGGAAGCAACGGCUAACUACGUGCCAGCAGCCGCGGUAAUUC
This 403-nucleotide ribosomal RNA is filed under the name uncultured bacterium. RNAcentral's name for it is "partial 16S ribosomal RNA". It matches the Rfam family "Bacterial small subunit ribosomal RNA", at positions 28 to 526 of the family's 1533-position model. The record is from RNAcentral.